RNAcentral lists this ribosomal RNA (400 nucleotides) under Iteomyia capreae. Its description in RNAcentral is "partial large subunit ribosomal RNA". The stretch from base 1 to 329 matches the Rfam family "Eukaryotic large subunit ribosomal RNA", at positions 329 to 664 of the family's 3401-position model. Lineage: Eukaryota; Metazoa; Arthropoda; Insecta; Diptera; Cecidomyiidae. The record is from RNAcentral.
CGAAACCGAUAGCGAACAAGUACCGUGAGGGAAAGUUGAAAAGUACUCUGAAUAGAGAGUUAAAUAGUACGUGAAACCGCUUAGGGGUUAAGCCCGAUGAACCCGAAUAUCUGAUGUGAGAAAUUCAAUACGAUUCAGAUUCAUAUUUUUAUAUUGGAUUUGUAUAGUAUGCACUUUUCUCAUAGUAAGACAUUGUAAUCCAUUGAUAUUAUAUCUCAUAUAUCAUAUAUGAGAUGAUUUAACAUACGGUCAAAAUGUUUAUGAUUAUUCUAUCAGUGAUAUGUUUACAUGUCAUAUGAAUAAAAUCGUUUUGUUUCCUGUUUAAAUAGUCGAUGGAUUUUUCAUUGAAAUCAUGCUUGCAAUUCAUUUUGCGUUUCGUAUCAUUAAUUUUUAAUUUUUG